RNAcentral lists this long non-coding RNA (925 nucleotides) under Malus domestica (apple). RNAcentral describes it as "long non-coding RNA (MDOM_LNC019873)". Lineage: Eukaryota; Viridiplantae; Streptophyta; Magnoliopsida; Rosales; Rosaceae. The record is from RNAcentral.
AUAACUUGUAAGGUAAUCACUUAGAAUUAUAAUAUAGUUAGGUUUAAUGUUCGACUCCCUCGAAUCAAAUUAAACAUUAAUGAGUAUUCAAGGAUCACAACUCGUCGCACGUUGUGGAUGGUUUUCCACAUACUCCUACUUAUAUGGCCCCCACCAUCAUUACCAACAUAUGAAUCAUUGAUGAUAGUGAAGUUUAGGUUAAAACUUAAAACUAAUUAUAUGGUUUGGUGGAUCCGAGGAAUAAUUUUUAAUUCUGCUGGGGCAGAAAAUUUUUCAAAAGAAAAAGCUGGAAAAGUGAGAUAUACAGUACUUCAAAAUUCAAAUUGUGACAGUGUGUGCAUAGAUCACGGUUACAAGCCAACAGCCAAAAGCCAAAGGCGAUGAGUAAAGAACUUUACGCAGUGUAAAGACGUAAUGACCAGUUUUGCUAAAAGAAAUGGACAGGAAAGAGAAAUAAAGAGAGCGAGAAAAAGAAGGAAAGCAUAAAAGCAAAUAAUUAUGAUGAGGAAACUGAAGGUGUGUAUGCAGAAAUGAAAUGAAGGCAUGCGAGCUUUCCAAGGGAAAUCCAUUCAUGUCCACAACAUGUCGUCGCUGAGCUGAUAGUGGUCAAAUGCAUGGUCCUUUCGUUUUCUAAGAGCAUCUCUUUAAUUUCCUUUCCCGAGUCAGGGUUACGGUACAAAUUCUGCCAUUAGGAUCCUCUCCGGAUUCUUUUGGUAAUGAUCUUGAGAAUUUGUAAAUUGUAUUCGUUUAUUAUACAUUAUGCGGUCAGUUUUUGUCAGCUACUGUUUAUAUUUGAUUUUAAAUAAAAAUAUUUAAAAUAAUUUCUAACCGCACGAUGUACGAUAAACGAAUAUGAUUCACGGAUCAUCAGGAUCCUCACAAAGAAGAUCAGGCGAGAAUCCAGAUUCCAAAUUCUGGACCCUCC